Molecule: ribosomal RNA, 1372 nt
Filed under: uncultured bacterium
Lineage: Bacteria
Description: bacterial SSU rRNA
Rfam family: Bacterial small subunit ribosomal RNA
Source: RNAcentral
GAUGAACGCUGGCGGCGUGCCUAAUACAUGCAAGUCGAGCGAACGGACGAGAAGCUUGCUUCUCUGAUGUUAGCGGCGGACGGGUGAGUAACACGUGGAUAACCUACCUAUAAGACUGGGAUAACUUCGGGAAACCGGAGCUAAUACCGGAUAAUAUUUUGAACCGCAUGGUUCAAAAGUGAAAGACGGUCUUGCUGUCACUUAUAGAUGGAUCCGCGCUGCAUUAGCUAGUUGGUAAGGUAACGGCUUACCAAGGCAACGAUGCAUAGCCGACCUGAGAGGGUGAUCGGCCACACUGGAACUGAGACACGGUCCAGACUCCUACGGGAGGCAGCAGUAGGGAAUCUUCCGCAAUGGGCGAAAGCCUGACGGAGCAACGCCGCGCGAGUGAUGAAGGUCUUCGGAUCGUAAAACUCUGUUAUUAGGGAAGAACAUAUGUGUAAGUAACUGUGCACAUCUUGACGGUACCUAAUCAGAAAGCCACGGCUAACUACGUGCCAGCAGCCGCGGUAAUACGUAGGUGGCAAGCGUUAUCCGGAAUUAUUGGGCGUAAAGCGCGCGUAGGCGGUUUUUUAAGUCUGAUGUGAAAGCCCACGGCUCAACCGUGGAGGGUCAUUGGAAACUGGAAAACUUGAGUGCAGAAGAGGAAAGUGGAAUUCCAUGUGUAGCGGUGAAAUGCGCAGAGAUAUGGAGGAACACCAGUGGCGAAGGCGACUUUCUGGUCUGUAACUGACGCUGAUGUGCGAAAGCGUGGGGAUCAAACAGGAUUAGAUACCCUGGUAGUCCACGCCGUAAACGAUGAGUGCUAAGUGUUAGGGGGUUUCCGCCCCUUAGUGCUGCAGCUAACGCAUUAAGCACUCCGCCUGGGGAGUACGACCGCAAGGUUGAAACUCAAAGGAAUUGACGGGGACCCGCACAAGCGGUGGAGCAUGUGGUUUAAUUCGAAGCAACGCGAAGAACCUUACCAAAUCUUGACAUCCUUUGACAACUCUAGAGAUAGAGCCUUCCCCUUCGGGGGACAAAGUGACAGGUGGUGCAUGGUUGUCGUCAGCUCGUGUCGUGAGAUGUUGGGUUAAGUCCCGCAACGAGCGCAACCCUUAAGCUUAGUUGCCAUCAUUAAGUUGGGCACUCUAAGUUGACUGCCGGUGACAAACCGGAGGAAGGUGGGGAUGACGUCAAAUCAUCAUGCCCCUUAUGAUUUGGGCUACACACGUGCUACAAUGGACAAUACAAAGGGCAGCGAAACCGCGAGGUCAAGCAAAUCCCAUAAAGUUGUUCUCAGUUCGGAUUGUAGUCUGCAACUCGACUACAUGAAGCUGGAAUCGCUAGUAAUCAUAGAUCAGCAUGCUACGGUGAAUACGUUCCCGGGUCU